GUGAACGCUAGCGGUGCGCCUAACACAUGCAAGUCGAGUGGGUUUAGGCCCACGGCAGACGGCUGCGUAACACGUUGGAACCUGCCCCGGACUCAGGGAUAACCCCGCGAAAGCGGGGCUAAUACCGGAUGCCGUUAGCCGGCGAUUUAAAUCGCCGGCUAACGAAAGAUUUUUCGGUCCGGGAGGGGCCUGCGGCCUAUCAGCUCGUUGGUAAGGUAACGGCUUACCAAGGCAAUGACGGGUAGCUGGUCUGAGAGGACGACCAGCCAGAAUGGAACUGAGAAACGGUCCAUACUCCUACGGGAGGCAGCAGUGAGGAAUCUUCCGCAAUGGGCGAAAGCCUGACGGAGCGACACCGCGUGGUGGAUGAAGGCCUUUCAGGUCGUAAACACCUGUUCUGAGGGACGAAAUUUUUGACGGUACCUCAGGAGAAAGUAUCGGCUAACCCUGU
This 451-nucleotide ribosomal RNA is filed under the name uncultured bacterium. RNAcentral's name for it is "bacterial SSU rRNA". It matches the Rfam family "Bacterial small subunit ribosomal RNA", at positions 29 to 506 of the family's 1533-position model. The record is from RNAcentral.